UUAAUAAAAGAUAAAAAAGGGGCAAAUAGAGGAAAGUGUUUAAGAUGUAACGAAUUCAUUGGAAAAGCAAGGUGUGAUUAUUGUGACUGCGUUGCUUCUAAACAAGAACGUAAAAUGAGCGGGACCUAAAAAUUUAUGCAUAUACUAAUGUACAAGAAGAUGAAAAAUAUCCAAAUAUGUGUAUAGGUCUGUUUUUUGUUCAUUAAUAUAUGAUAAGGUAUAUAUUUUUGAUAAACAAAAUAUAUGAAAAGGGUGGGGUACUUGAUGUCUCAGCUGCUCACCCCUACCAAAAAAAGUUUGAAGUGGCCCCCCCGAGAA
This 318-nucleotide long non-coding RNA is filed under the name Mytilus galloprovincialis (Mediterranean mussel). Lineage: Eukaryota; Metazoa; Mollusca; Bivalvia; Mytilida; Mytilidae. The record is from RNAcentral.